AUGUCCCAUUGCCCAAAAAGAAACCAAGGCCCGCAGGGGUGGACUGGUAAAGAACCCCACAAGUAGAAGCUCAGAAAUUCCUUGCCUACUCUGGAAGGUGAGGGCAUUCCCCCUUCAAAAGAAGGUUAGGUCAGUGUAAAAUGGCUGACACCCCAUGCCUUUGGAAAAGUAUUUCCAGAACAAAAAGUCUACUGCUGACUCCAAGGAGGGCAGAAAGGAAAGCAGUUGCUAUAGCAACAUCUUUGGCAGCCUACUUUCCCUCCUCCUCCUGUUCAAAAACAGUUUCCAGCAGGCUUCCCGGUGUGGGUGGGGAAGGCCUAAUUUCAGCCCAGCAACUGCACUCGGCCAAUCUCCUGCCAGGUUUGGUGGCCAGAGUCAGGUGGUAGCCAAUGAAGAGGCCUGGAGCUUGUGUCGUGGUCCUUGAGCCAGGUUGGAAUAACUAGAGGGCAGGCACACAUGACCGUUUCCACGGUGACUUCCCUUAGCAACCUGACUGGUCCUGUUUAUGAGCACUGGAAAAUUCCACCCAGCCUCUGGCCUGAUUUUGUUACCUUCUGUGCUUCCUUCCUUCCCCAAGGCAGUGAUAAAGUCACUGCCAGUGUUUAACCCCUUCUGGAGAUGUGCCUGACUCCUGACAGAUCCGGGGCUGCGUGUGAGGCCUGCAUGCCCUGCGCUGCACUUGGUACUGGAGGCUGGAGGGAAGGGAGCCCUAGCAGGUAAAUGACAAAAUCCCCAGGCUCCUAAAUCCUCAUCUGUAAAAUGAGGUGACCCAACUCGGUUUUCUGCCUCCAGCACUAAAAUUCCACGAAAAAGUUUCCAGUGCAGAGCAGACACCAAGGCUGUCUGAGCGGCGCCGUCUGCCCCUCGGCACUAUCCCACUCCCGGGGGCGGGCGGGAGCUGGGGGGACCGCCGGCCCGGACAGGACGGUCGCGCCAGGGCCCGCUCGGAGCCCUGCUUCAACGGCUUGGGGAGGCGGCUCCCCGACCAGGCGCCUCGUUUGCUGGAGCCCCCCAGGCCCGCCCCGCCCCUUCACAACCUUCGUCAUUUACUGGAGUCGAGGGGGGAUUUAAAAUACGGAGAAUACAACCCUGAUGUCAUUUGGCUGCUAUCCCGACCUUCACCGUGCCGCUGUACUCCAUCUUCCCGUCUUGGAACUUGCUGCUAAAGACAUUUGCCAUUUUGUAGAUUCUAGAAAUAAAAGACUGGAGGUGAGACGGGAUGGGAAUCGCCAUCCUGUCCUGGGCUCCUAGCUUAAACCA
Molecule: long non-coding RNA, 1260 nt
Organism: Manis pentadactyla (Chinese pangolin)
Lineage: Eukaryota; Metazoa; Chordata; Mammalia; Pholidota; Manidae
Exons: 2
Source: RefSeq, a predicted model, not a curated record